CGCCUCUUGCCAACACACAAACAUAAGAGGUCCAGCCUGCCCAGUGACAAAUUGUUCAACGGCCGCGGUAUUCUGACCGUGCAAAGGUAGCGUAAUCACUUGUCUUUUAAAUAAAGACUGGUAUGAAAGGCACCACGAAGAUUCAACUGUCUCUCUUAUCUAGUCAGUGAAACUGAUCUCCCCGUGCAGAAGCGGGGAUGCACACACAAGACGAGAAGACCCCAUGGAGCUUAAAACACAAGCAACUGCUAUCCAAUAACCAUCGAAAGACUAAAUCUACAAUCAAGCAGAAAUGACCCAAUGUUUUCGGUUGGGGCGACCACGGAGAAUAAAACAUCCUCCGCGAGAUGGAGGUUACACCCUGAAACGAACGACAGUUCUAAACAUCAGAACAUCUGACCUUCUUGAUCCAGUCUAACUGAUCAACGAACCAAGUUACCCUGGGGAUAACAGCGCAAUCUACUUAAAAAGUUCAUAUCGACAAGUAGGUUUACGACCUCGAUGUUGGAUCAGGGCACCCAAGUUGGUGCAGCCGCUACUAACGGUUCGUUUGUUCAACGAUUAAAGCCCUACGUGAUCUGAGUUCAGACCGGAGCAAUCCAGGUCAGUUUCUAUCUGUGAAGGACCCUUCCUAGUACGAAAGGACCGAAAGAGUGAGGCCAAUACAAAAGCAUGCCUCCACCUAACCUCAGUGACACCAACUAAACUGACACUAAACCUACAAACCCUAACCAAGACAGGGU
Molecule: ribosomal RNA, 743 nt
Filed under: Pipa pipa
Lineage: Eukaryota; Metazoa; Chordata; Amphibia; Anura; Pipidae
Description: partial 16S ribosomal RNA
Rfam family: Bacterial large subunit ribosomal RNA
Source: RNAcentral